AAUCCCAUUAUCUUUCCAUCAGACGAUUUUCAUGUCACUGAUGCCUUAAAAUGGGAGAAAUUAUCAGCUUGAGUAGAAAACAGGAAUUAUCUCCCCGGAGGUACAUCACGCUCUAUUGAACGACAUUU
Molecule: small nucleolar RNA, 128 nt
Filed under: Caenorhabditis remanei
Lineage: Eukaryota; Metazoa; Nematoda; Chromadorea; Rhabditida; Rhabditidae
Description: Caenorhabditis snoRNA ceN67
Rfam family: Caenorhabditis snoRNA ceN67
Source: Rfam by way of RNAcentral